RNAcentral lists this ribosomal RNA (246 nucleotides) under uncultured bacterium. RNAcentral's name for it is "partial 16S ribosomal RNA". It matches the Rfam family "Bacterial small subunit ribosomal RNA", at positions 796 to 1041 of the family's 1533-position model. The record is from RNAcentral.
CGCACAGUAAACGAUGAAUACCAGCUGUUGGCGAUAGACAGUCAGCGGCGUAAGCGAAAGCGUUAAGUAUUCCACCUGGGGAGUACGCCGGCAACGGUGAAACUCAAAGGAAUUGACGGGGGCCCGCACAAGCGGAGGAACAUGUGGUUUAAUUCGAAGCAACGCGAAGAACCUUACCAGGUCUUGACAUCCCGAUGACCGCUCUAGAGAUAGAGUUUUCCCUUCGGGGACAUUGGUGACAGGUGG